ACAAAUUCGUUGACGAAGACGAGUACAAACGAGUCUGGUUGUACGGCGGUGCGAUGAUUCGUCAUUGGCACGCGAUUAGAGAGAUGUUGCCGUGGCUGCAAGCAACAUCCAACCUCCGUUUGGAAGGACAGCUUCAGAGAACCGAAAUCAACGGGCGGGUGUGGAAAUGACUGUGGCCCUAAAGUUUCGGCGUGGGUGCGCGUUAAGCCAAUUGAGAGGAACACAAAUCUGUUCAAACAGGGUGGCACCGCGGAAGCGCUCUUUCGUCCCUGUC
This 274-nucleotide non-coding RNA is filed under the name Alicyclobacillus acidoterrestris. Its description in RNAcentral is "T-box sequence". It matches the Rfam family "T-box leader". From Rfam's summary of the family: Uncharged tRNA acts as the effector for transcription antitermination of genes in the T-box leader family. T-boxes are found upstream of many aminoacyl-tRNA synthetase genes and some amino acid biosynthetic genes usually in Gram-positive bacteria. The anticodon of a specific tRNA base pairs to a specifier sequence within the T-box motif, and the NCCA acceptor tail of the tRNA base pairs to a conserved bulge in the T-box antiterminator hairpin. The record is from RNAcentral. Lineage: Bacteria; Bacillati; Bacillota; Bacilli; Caryophanales; Alicyclobacillaceae.